Molecule: transfer RNA, 73 nt
Filed under: Ailuropoda melanoleuca (giant panda)
Lineage: Eukaryota; Metazoa; Chordata; Mammalia; Carnivora; Ursidae
Rfam family: tRNA
About the family: Transfer RNA (tRNA) molecules are approximately 80 nucleotides in length.
Source: Rfam by way of RNAcentral
GCCUGGCUGGCUCAGCUGGUAGAGCGUGGGACUCUUGAUCUUGGGGUUGUGAGUUUGAGCCCCAUGUUGGGUG